Molecule: RNA transcript, 1752 nt
Organism: Pogoniulus pusillus (Red-fronted tinkerbird)
Lineage: Eukaryota; Metazoa; Chordata; Aves; Piciformes; Lybiidae
Gene name: cilia- and flagella- associated protein 210-like
Exons: 8
Source: RefSeq, a predicted model, not a curated record
CGGCUCUGCCGCUGCGCGCUCCUCCCCUCCGCAGGCCGGGCCGGGCUGAGCCUCCCCACAGCGCCCGCGGCCGGCCCACAGCUUUCCGGGGCGGGGCUGGGCGGAGCGGUGUGAGCCGCUGGAGCCGCGCGGGACGCCGCCUGUCCCUCCUUUCUUGUGCCCCCGGUGGUGUGCUGGUAGGUCCCGUCGGAAUCAGCAGCACACAGGGGCGCGUCGGCCGGGGCGCUCCUUGCUGAAGCCGCCCUGAGACAGGAAAGAGGGUGCUGGCCACCGCCGCUCCUUCUCGGAGUUGGAAGAAAGAGCUCCGGAUUCCCGGGACAGACGAGCCGUCACCGCCUCCUUCUGUCUCUGUUGCAUCCGACUCGCGACGGAGAAAGGCCGAGGAUGGACCAGGAGGGAGCAGAGGCUGCGCGCCGGGAGGCAGCGCUGGAGCGCAGCCGUUACUUGGAGCGCCGGGCCGUGGCCCAGGAGCAGCUGGCGCAAAUAAAGGAGCACAAGCAUCAGGCAGAUCUGGCCAAGCUACAAGACAGAAGAGAAGGGGAACAAAUACAGAGACAGUACCAAUUGUACCAACUGGAAAUUCAGAGUGGAAAAGAAAGGAAACGGGAGGAAGAAGUUGAAUGUCAGAAGCAGUAUCACGAACAUGUAGCUGAACAGAAAAGAAUUAAAGCUGAAGAUAAACAAAACGAAGAUGAAGAUGAUGAUCGGAUUAAGGCUUAUAUUAAAGGAAAAGAGACAAUGGCUGAUUUGACAAGAGAAAAAAAUGUAGAGGCUAAUAGGCUAAUACAGGAGCGUAAGGACAAGGCUGUUGAACAAUUAACUGCACAGAUGAAUGAGGCAUGGAAGAUUGAAGACCAGCGACUUGCUAGAGGAGCUGCUGAGGUAGAAUGUGAAUACCAGAGGCAAAACAAAGAGAAAGAACAGGAGAAAAAAGCUGCCAUUGAAUCUAUUGCUGAACACAGAGCAGCUGUGAUGAAGAUGAAAGCAGAAGAGAAGAGAGAGGAAAAAGCAGAGGGUGAGAAGGUUCGUAAUCAGUGGAUGACAGCAGAUUGUAUUGCCUUGGAAAUGGAUAAAGCCAAGAAACAAAGACAACGUGAUGCAAAUGUGGAAAUACAGACAAUUCGGAUCCAGCAAAUGGCUGAAAAAGAGGCAAGAAAACAGCAAGAGAAGCAAGCAGAUUUGGACUAUGAUGCUCAGAGAGAAGCUGCUUUUCAUAGGGAUCGAGCAUUUCAUCGAUAAAGACAAAGUUGGAGCCUUGAGAAGAAGCACUGACUACAACAGAAGUGGUGCUGAAGUCUGCAGAGCUUAAUAAUGCUCCAAAUACAGCCCUAAGUGCAUAUUUGCACAUGCUAACUACCAUGCAGCUGGAAUAUCUCUGACACCUACAGAAGUCUCUGCUAAGGAGUAAGAAGUCAGCCACUGUCUCCUUAAACGUUAUGUGCCUGCUCAAGCUAUCAGCUGAAGUUAACUGUGGAUCAAGUUACAAGGCAUGCUGUUUGCCAGAGCCUGCCUAUACUUCCAGCUCAGGAAACAAGUUGCCAUACAAACUACAGCCAUAGCUUGCAAAUGUCUGUAACUACUCUGCAUUUAUCAGGGAACAAAACAGUAGAUCCACUUCCUCAGAAGUGAAAAACUAAUGACCAAAGGUAAAGCAUUAGUUCACCUGUACUGUAUUCCAGUGUUGCUGUUCAAAGUGUAUGUUUUGAUUUAAAAUUCUUAGUGAGCAAAUAAUAAAAAAUCUGCCUGUAACAA